Molecule: long non-coding RNA, 3686 nt
Organism: Bombus impatiens (common eastern bumble bee)
Lineage: Eukaryota; Metazoa; Arthropoda; Insecta; Hymenoptera; Apidae
Exons: 3
Source: RefSeq, a predicted model, not a curated record
UAGUAAGUAUUACAUUUACUGAUUUCACAUUCUAAUUCUAACCUAUCAUUUCACACACUACAUCAUUUGAGUUCAUAUACUUCUAUGCUCUAGUGAACAAAUUGACAACAUCCAAAUGUUCAGUUGCAUCUGCGAGUCCAAAAUUGCAGUCGAGUUUGAAGAACAUAUAUGUAAGUAACUUAACCUCUUUCCAGCGAAUAAAAAAGGUACAAUACACUAUGUACAGUCAGGGAAGUUAUUGCAUCAACCGGUAUCGGUAUAAAUACUUUAAUUUAGAACUAUGUUAUAUUGUGGAGUCUACUACAACGGUUUAUCCGGCCGUAUAUGUUACCGUACGUGUCCAAGAAGACAUAGGAUCACUAUGUCGUAAUCCUUUUCUUAUCGACACGAAAAUGCGACACUGAUUGGAGAAGUUGACGUAAAAGCGCCUCGUUACGCACAAGGAACCUUUUAACAGGGUCACGCCAGAUUACCUCGUUUAUUUAUAGGCCGACGAAAAAAUUGAUCGCGACACCGAUCGAACGACCCAGCUUUGAACUUUCGAACCGGACAAUAUCUUUAUAGUUUGGCUCACAGUUGACCAGUCUUCCCUCGACUAAUGAGGUCUUAACCUAACUUUCAUUGCCUGUACGAGUAACGUUAAUUGACGGGAAACAUAAUUUCCAUCCUCUGUGAAAAGGUUAACGCGUCGAAUGAAUUUCCGGUCUUUACGAGAAAUUUAGGAAUCCAGAAAUUUUUUCGUAGUUUACUCGGAGAAGUUGAUACGACCGGUUCCUACGUUUCCGGUACACGUAGUAAGAGAGGAAACGAUAAAAGGGUAUGGCGGUACAGUUGCGCGCUACGUGAGUUUAGUUCGGAAAGUUUUAUCGGUCAAAGUUGCUGGAUACUGAGGAUUUCGAAAUUCGAUUCUCUCAACUCGGGAGAGAACCCGCUAUCCGUAAAACGAAUGAUUGUUUAACAUGGAUUAUUAACGAUCUGCCUGACGAUAGAACGAUAGAAAUUCAAGAAGAAAAUUUCCAUUUUCUUCGUAUGUAAACGAACCAUAUUCUCAUUUUGCUUAUAUCGGAGAAAAACAAAAGAACCAUUAUUCGUGUAAUGACCCACAUUUAACUAGGAGGUUGGCAUAUUUUAUUGAUGGCCGGAAAGCUGAUACGGUUUAACCGGUUUCAGCGCGUAGCACGCGCCAAUAAAGUAUACACAGUCGCUGUGCGUAACAGUAGCUUUUAAUAAUUACACCAACAAGACAAAUUUAAUAUUAACCGUGAAACAGGUUCUUGUGUACCUGUGAAUGCUGUUUACAUACGCUUUUCUUGUAUUAAAAUGGAUCUUUCAAUUAUUCGAAGGAUAAAAUCUGACAUUCCGAAGAAAUAUAAUCUAAUGGCAUUUCUCUUUGCACGAGCAUUCCUGCAAAUGAUUAUCGACCGAGUCAUAAAUCUUCGUAAAAAUGGGCGGGGACCAUUUCAUUUGUGGCACAUUUUACGAGAGACCUCUACAAUCCCUACGGAGGGAACGGCAAACCAUUUGCGGAUCGUUUCAUUCGAAUCGUCGCCGACGGUGCCUCUCUAUUGGAUAAGCAAUUGCAAGUGCAAACAUUUGCUCGCAAUCAUUUAUGCUCGCUGGUGUGGGCAUCAUGAGUGAAUGUCUCACCAGCGUUGGCUUUCGCUGAAUCUUGACUGGAAAUUGCGUUUGAACUGAGAAUGUUUACCGAUGUUACAUUCAUUGUUCACAGAACCAUUAUCAAAAGGUAGAAUAAUCUCCAUGGGAUAUCUGCAUAACCAAGAUACAAGAAGAUGUACAACCGAAGUAGGUUAGGAAUAUGCUUCCACUAACCUAUAUUCUCUCAUGGUCUCGCUCGUCCAGUGGAAAAGCAUCAUUACGUUCCGAAGCGUUCGUCGUACAAUGUCACCAACGCUGUCACGAUUCUCAUGCACACAUGCGUAAUUACUCCGGUGACUGAAGCACGUCAAUUCGGGUUGCACUACACGUAGCAUUAAAACUCUCAUGGCGCGGCGUAGGUUUGGCCGUUAGUUUGUAAAACCGCGAAGCGUGGUGUGAGCAACAUACGAGUCGAUACAUGCAAGCUUUACCAGGUAUAAAAAAAAUCCAUUGCAUUUUACUUAACUUUUUCAGUGGCCACCGACAAGUUUUAUUAAACCGUCGUUCGCAUUUUUACGGAGGGGAAGGAUAUAUACGUAGACCGACGAACGAAUAGCCCUUUUCGCGAGCCAUUAUAUGCGUUCCCGCCUCGAUUUACCAGCUGCUCAGGGAGUUAGACGAAAGUUGAACGAGAAUCAGGCCUAUACAUAAUACGAGGGCCGUUGCAUAACGCGUUGGCGUUGCCAUCGCGUCUAAAGCUCAAAAACACGUUACUUCAGAAUCCAUCUCCUUACAGCUUUAUGCAGCAUUUACAAGACAAGUAGCGCACUCGCGCGAUUUACCCAGACGAAAAUCACUUAAGCUUCUUUUGUCCGCGCUGUUUCAGCGGUUCAAACGUAUACUUGAAAAUAUAUAUUUUCAACGGAUCUGACGCGCAUUUAAAUGUACCAUUCGGUCGAUAUAAAAAUGCGUUUCGAUUAUAAGCAAACAGACAGACUUGGCUAGAACUAUUUACGAUUCGCACUAAUAUUAAGGAAUAAAUAAUUGUGGAAACAUUUACCUUUGGGAACGUUGUUUCCGAUAAAUGAUUCACUGCGCGAGCGCCACAAAUAUUUGCUAUUCGUCCACAUUUUCAAUUAACACUAUUUUAUGUUGCACGCGCAUUUUAAAAGUGGCAAUUCAAACAGGGUUUCCAGAAAAACGAGAAACUAUUCGGAAGCUUACAAAAAUGAUUUGCAAUAAAUACACGAUGUUGGCAAAAAAAUAUGGAUUCUACGAAGCAACGAUCAAAUAUUAUUUUUGUAAUUCUCCAUUACUCUAACACAGAAUUGAAGUAUUUCGAGUCGUGACACUUUUGAGACACGUAUAAAGAUGUAUUUCUUCACGAACUAAGAAUUUAAGAAUUGGUGAAACAAUAACCUAGCACUGGCAACGUAUAUGAUAGUAAUACGAUCACGGAUCACUUCGGAUAAAAGGGAUAUUAUUUUCAAGGAAUAUUUCGUUACGGUGGGUACCGGGUAAUUGAGUUAACUGACCGAGAAGACGUGUACGGCAAAAGGUAAGUCGAGGCUUGUUGGAUGCGAACUUGGGUUAAGGAUAGAGACUAGCCAAGUUCGGGCCAACUUCGGAUCAGGUUCGGGUCAGAAACCUGUCGGAGACAAGGCACAGACGGGCCAGAAACGGGACUCUCUCUUCGCUGUUUCCCCCCUCAGCUAUUAUAAAAUUACGCUGCGAGACAUUCUCGAGAACGCAACGUCGGGCAGUACGAAAUUUUCACCACGUGCUUCCCCCUUUGCCCUCUCCCCUCUCCCCCUUUGCCACGUUUCGCCAUAAUUUAGCAUAAAGUUUUCGAUACGUAUACAUUAUAUACAGGGUGGGCCAUGCGAACUGUUCUCUCAGAAACCAAGGGAAAUAUUAAUUUAACAUUUUUUCCAGUUUAAUGAAAUGAGAAAAUGAAUUAUGCGGUGUACGAAUAUUCUUUUGGUACUACUACUAUAAGUUUUUGUUAUUUUUCGAAAUGAAGCGCUGUAUUCAAUUCGCUUUACUUAGAUAGAUGUUGCCAAAUUUAAUAAUAUCUACUUGAAACAUUU